CAGGAGCUGUCGGUGGAAAUUACACUCAAAUACGGUAAAUAUAAACGAGAGUUUCUUUGCAAAAGUGCAGUGAAAGGCUUCGGUGAAAUACUGCAGCCACUGGAAAUAAGAGGCAUGAAUUUAAAUGACUUUGUGGUUCCUAACAACAAGACCGGAUCUGUCAAGCACAAUGCCAGGAACCUGCAAAAACUGCUACUGGAUACAACGACUGUGGCCAAUGAGAGCAAGAAAAUGGAAGAGAAGCUGGAACAGUUAAAAGAAAACAUGAGUAAAGAGAAGCAGGAGAGAGG
This is a long non-coding RNA of Cyprinodon variegatus (sheepshead minnow), 290 nucleotides long. RefSeq lists it as uncharacterized. The transcript is spliced from 3 exons. NCBI's taxonomy places the organism in Eukaryota, Metazoa, Chordata, Actinopteri, Cyprinodontiformes, Cyprinodontidae. The record is from RefSeq and is a predicted model, not a curated record.